This 500-nucleotide ribosomal RNA is filed under the name uncultured bacterium. RNAcentral's name for it is "bacterial SSU rRNA". It matches the Rfam family "Bacterial small subunit ribosomal RNA", at positions 28 to 526 of the family's 1533-position model. The record is from RNAcentral.
GAUGAACGCUGGCGGCGUGCUUAACACAUGCAAGUCGAACGAAGCACUUUAAUGGAUUUCCUUCGGGAAUGAAGGAGAAGUGACUUAGUGGCGGACGGGUGAGUAACGCGUGGGUAACCUGCCUUAUACAGGGGGAUAACAGUUGGAAACGACUGCUAACACCGCAUAAGCGCACAGUGUCGCAUGACACAGUGUGAAAAUAUUAAUAGGUAUAAGAUGGACCCGCGUCUGAUUAGCUAGUUGGUGAGGUAAUGGCCCACCAAGGCGACGAUCAGUAGCCGGCUUGAGAGAGUGAACGGCCACAUUGGGACUGAGACACGGCCCAAACUCCUACGGGAGGCAGCAGUGGGGAAUAUUGCACAAUGGGGGAAACCCUGAUGCAGCGACGCCGCGUGAGUGAAGAAGUAUUUCGGUAUGUAAAGCUCUAUCAGCAGGGACGAUAAUGACGGUACCUGACUAAGAAGCCCCGGCUAACUACGUGCCAGCCGCCGCGGUAACAC